AUUGCAGGCUGCAACCCGCCUGCAUGAAGUCGGAAUUGCUAGUAAUCGCGGAUCAGCAUGCCGCGGUGGAAUACGUUCCCGGGCCUUGUACACACCGCCCGUCACACCAUGGGAGCCGGUAAUACCCGAAGUCAGUAGUCCAACCACGUGAGGACGCUGCCGAAGGUAGGAUUGGCGACUGGGGUGAAGUCGUAACAAGGUACC
RNAcentral lists this ribosomal RNA (204 nucleotides) under uncultured bacterium. Its description in RNAcentral is "partial 16S ribosomal RNA". It matches the Rfam family "Bacterial small subunit ribosomal RNA", at positions 1297 to 1500 of the family's 1533-position model. The record is from RNAcentral.